UGGGGAAUAUUGGACAAUGGGGGCAACCCUGAUCCAGCAAUGCCGCGUGUGUGAAGAAGGCCUGCGGGUUGUAAAGCACUUUCAGUAGAGAAGAAAAGCCUAAGGUUAAUAACCUUGAGUCUUGACGUAACCUACAGAAGAAGCACCGGCUAACUCCGUGCCAGCAGCCGCGGUAAUACGGAGGGUGCAAGCGUUAAUCGGAAUUACUGGGCGUAAAGCGCACGUAGGUGGUUUGGUAAGUCGGAUGUGAAAGCCCUGGGCUUAACCUGGGAAUUGCAUUCGAUACUGCUUGACUAGAGUAUGGUAGAGGGAAGUGGAAUUUCCGGUGUGGCGGUGAAAUGCGUAGAUAUCGGAAGGAACACCAGUGGCGAAGGCGACUUCCUGGGCCAAUACUGACACUGAGGUGCGGAAGCGUGGGUAGCGAAACAGGAUUAGAUACCCUGGUAGUCCACGCCGUAAACGAUGAGAACUAGAUGUUGGGAGGGUUGCCUCCCGGUGUCGCAGCUAACG
This 510-nucleotide ribosomal RNA is filed under the name uncultured Pseudomonadota bacterium. RNAcentral describes it as "bacterial SSU rRNA". It matches the Rfam family "Bacterial small subunit ribosomal RNA", at positions 355 to 857 of the family's 1533-position model. The record is from RNAcentral. Lineage: Bacteria; Pseudomonadati; Pseudomonadota.